RNAcentral lists this ribosomal RNA (469 nucleotides) under uncultured bacterium. RNAcentral's name for it is "bacterial SSU rRNA". It matches the Rfam family "Bacterial small subunit ribosomal RNA", at positions 53 to 507 of the family's 1533-position model. The record is from RNAcentral.
ACAUGCAAGUCGAACGGGCAGCAUGGAAGAGGCUUGCUCUUCUGAUGGCGAGUGGCGAACGGGUGAGUAAAGCAUCGGAACGUGCCCAGUCGUGGGGGAUAACGUAGCGAAAGUUACGCUAAUACCGCAUACGAUCUACGGAUGAAAGCGGGGGACUCGCAAGGGCCUCGCGCGAUUGGAGCGGCCGAUAUCAGAUUAGGUAGUUGGUGGGGUAAAGGCUCACCAAGCCAACGAUCUGUAGCUGGUCUGAGAGGACGACCAGCCACACUGGAACUGAGACACGGUCCAGACUCCUACGGGAGGCAGCAGUGGGGAAUUUUGGACAAUGGACGCAAGUCUGAUCCAGCCAUUCCGCGUGCAGGAUGAAGGCCCUCGGGUUGUAAACUGCUUUUGUACGGAACGAAAAGGUUUCCAUUAAUACUGGGAGCUCAUGACGGUACCGUAAGAAUAAGCACCGGCUAACUACGUG